GGAACAGCAACCGCUGGAGCACUUCCUUGAAUUUGUUCAACAACAGCAUUUGUCUAACCAUGUGGCUACCAAACAAUAGCAGCAGAAGGGUAUCCAUCAGCACACGAUCUAGCCAGUUCGUCCAAAAGAGAAACGUCAAAAAGUGCGGGCGGAUGAAUUUUGUUUUGUUUCGGUUCUGUACGGGGCACUCCGGCUGUUGCUCCGCUGGAAGUAAAUUCCAAUAAAUGACGUCGGGACGGUCGAGUUGGUUUGCUGCAUACGUACUUAUCAAAAAAUGCGGAUUCGGAGACAACAAUGUUGUUAUUUUUGCGACCCAGCAGAGCGAAAAAAUAGUGCCCUGCGUUUUAGUGCAUCGGAAGUUGCUGAUCAUGUCGAUUUGCACCUCGGAACGUUGGAGGAAGUAAUUGACGGUGGAGAUCUCGAAGUAGAUAAAUAUUAUCAUACUGGUCUAAUUCCUGUACCAAACCAGACGGUCUACAUACAGAAGCAGCGUUUUGCCGUAUCUCAACUAAAUGCGGUGAUUGUUAAUCUCUGCUAAGUAGCAGCAACAGCCGGAUCUGGCCCGACUUCUGUGCAUCGAUAUAAUUGUGGGUGGUGAAGGCACUGAUGAAUCUGUGCUGAAGGCUACACGAUCCGAAAAGAAACUCUACAGCAUAUUUUGACUCAAACUGCAAACAAAUUACAGACUCAAACUGCACAUUAACUCCGGCACAAGCAACGAGAACACCAUAAGUCACCCCGAAGGAUGCUUGAAACUAACUUCUUAUCGUGAGUUAGGUAUGACGUUUUAAUAUUUUUAGUGGCGGUAUCACGCUUAUCUUACUUGUACCUCCCGGAAGAGUACGAACAAGUACGAUCAUA
This is a long non-coding RNA of Uranotaenia lowii, 861 nucleotides long. RefSeq lists it as uncharacterized. The record is from RefSeq and is a predicted model, not a curated record. Lineage: Eukaryota; Metazoa; Arthropoda; Insecta; Diptera; Culicidae. The transcript has 4 exons.